This 253-nucleotide ribosomal RNA is filed under the name uncultured bacterium. RNAcentral describes it as "partial 16S ribosomal RNA". It matches the Rfam family "Bacterial small subunit ribosomal RNA", at positions 524 to 776 of the family's 1533-position model. The record is from RNAcentral.
GACGUAGGGCGCGAGCGUUGUCCGGAUUUACUGGGCGUAAAGAGCUCGUAGGUGGUUUGUCGCGUUGUUCGUGAAAUCUCACGGCUUAACUGUGAGCGUGCGGGCGAUACGGGCAGACUAGAGUACUGCAGGGGAGACUGGAAUUCCUGGUGUAGCGGUGGAAUGCGCAGAUAUCAGGAGGAACACCGGUGGCGAAGGCGGGUCUCUGGGCAGUAACUGACGCUGAGGAGCGAAAGCGUGGGGAGCGAACAGG